CAGCUAAUACGCGUAAGGUCACUUUGACGGAUGGUGCGAUAUAUGGACUCUCACUGCCAGCAACUAAUCCCUCCCUUUGCUCAUCCUCUUUCUUUUCUCUGCUUCAACUUCAUAUUUCUUUCUAUCUCACAGCAAUUAAUCUGCUUCCAUUUCCCUGUGCUCAUCCUCUUUCUGUCUCUACUUCAUUUUUAGAUUUGUUUUUAUUUCAACUUCACUGAUUUUGCUGUCACUUUCGAUAUCAUCGGCUAAUCGAAGGUCUUUGCGUAGAAAAUCUGGUUCACUGACUUUCCUCCCAAGGUUUUAUUACCAAUACAGCAUCAAACGUUUUCGGAAUAGUCGAGGAAACAGUUGCGGAGACUUUAAGGUAAUAUUUGAUACUAAAAACAACCCUUGUUUCGGCUUUUACGACCUUAGCAAAGUUCAACAACUCAAUAUUGUCCUCUUGCAAUAUCUGCUGGUUGAGUUCAACUUCUAUGAUGCUGCCAGCUCAACAACUGCAUCUCUCAUCUCUUGUUCAUAUCCAAUGUGUGCUUCGACUGAGUGCUGGCUAUUAUGUGUCAGAUUUAUUAUAUUUUGAUACAGUCCCCGCGACCUCACUGAUUGCCAACUCUUCAACACAAAAAUCCAACUGAAAUUUUGUACCUAUUUCAAUUCUAUGAUGUUAAAAGCUAUAUUGUGGUAAUAAACAACAAAUGUAUGUUUCAGCAGAAUAUCCAAAAAGCUUGAAAACCACCAGACAAUAAUAAUGACAGAAACACGAAUUGUAAGUAUCAAUUCCAACAAAAAAUAAGUAAUAAAUUUUCUUCUCUCUUUUUUGGUUUCUAAUUGAGCAAAUACCACCGUGUUUUCCUUCUCAUUACUUUUAUCUUUUGCUUUGCAGAUUCAUGAAAUCCAUCCAAGAAGUCGGUCAGGGAGAAUCAGUGAAAUUGUCAAGAUAAAGUGAUAUGAAUAGGCAUCUCAUAUGAGCAGCUUAUGCAGUAGAACAACAUGAACUGGUAGAAGAGUUUUGUAGACAGAGUUGAGCAGUAUGAAAGUUUAAAAUACAGCUUAAGGAUGCUUUCCACACAAUUGAAGUGCAAGGACUGCUUCAGUAAAAAAAAAGAAAAAAAGAAACAACAUCCAUAAAAUGGAUGAUCAAGUGAAAUAUUACUUUGAUACAUAUAUUCUUUAUAAUUAACUCAAUUUAUUUGUGACUACCGCAACAAAUAAAGACAACUUUAGAAUUGUUGGGCCCAUGCUCAGCAUGGCCAUGAUUGUCUAGUACUUACUAAUAAGCGGUUAAGUUCUAUGGCACCUUGAAGGUGCAAAUGUUAUUUGUACAAUCAGAUCACUUAAAGGCAAUUACAAUUUACUCUAUUUAAUAGAA
Nicotiana tabacum (common tobacco) is the source of this 1366-nucleotide non-coding RNA. Lineage: Eukaryota; Viridiplantae; Streptophyta; Magnoliopsida; Solanales; Solanaceae. The record is from RefSeq and is a predicted model, not a curated record.